Molecule: long non-coding RNA, 13605 nt
Organism: Orcinus orca (killer whale)
Lineage: Eukaryota; Metazoa; Chordata; Mammalia; Artiodactyla; Delphinidae
Exons: 4
Source: RefSeq, a predicted model, not a curated record
CUUUGGCCUGAAAUGAAAAUAAACACAAAUUUAAUGUUUUCUUUCCAUUUCUGGAUUAAUGUGCACACUACAAUACUUAUUAGAACGAUUUAGAAGAACAGAUUUAAUUUGGGUUUGACCAAUCACAAAAAGUCUCAGUAAGUCUGAGCAGCUGUUAUAAAAUGAUGCACCAAGAUUCUUUAUUGUGUUCAGCUAUACUUCUAUUGGCUUUAUUAAUUUUGUGACCUUGAAUAAGUUACUCUCUGAACUGGUUUCCUCAUCUUAACAUCAUGAUUUUACUUAAAUUCCACUAUCCCCUACAACCCUAUUUAAAAUUGCUACCCCAUCUCCAUUCCAGAAGCCCUCUUCUUCUUCAAUGCAUUAUUUUUCUCCAAAGUACUUAUCUCUUAUCUAACAAUAUGUACAUUUUACUUACUUGUUGUUUGUUGAGAACGUAAGUUCUAUGAAGGCAGGGAUUUUUUGUCUGUUUCAUUCACUGCUAUAUUCCCAACAGCGAACAACAUAGAGCAGGUGUUCAAUUAUAAUAGUAUUUGUUGAAAAAAUGAAUGACUAAAUCUAUUAAAUGAGGAUAGUAGUAUCUGCCACAUAGUAGCCCAGAUUGUGAGGAUUAACUGAGGUAGUGAAUAUAGUAUAUCGAGACUGGAUAUAAGAAUAAAUUAUGCCAUUAUUAUAAUUAAUAUUUUGAUGAAUAAUGAGAUGGACUUCGUUAAGUACGAUAUAAAAAGUUUCAUAUCUUAAUUAACCUAAACAAAAUAGCUCACUUUUAUUAAAUUUUAUUAAGAUUAUUGAAAGAAUCCAAGGAGCAGUGGAGAGAAAUGAAACACGGUCACACGAAAUUGUAAAAUCCUUCCCCCCAUCCCCUGAAGUAAGCUUUAUUGUUUUCAUUUGGUCUACUCCUUUUUAUUUUUAAAAUAUAUGUAACUGCUUUUCCUAUAGCGUGAUACAAAUAAAUUGCUUGAUGCUUACAUGGAUUUCUGCUAUCUGCCACCUGGAUGAGUAAAAUUCUAACAUAUUUCAGUUAUCUUUCUUCGUGCAACAGAUCUGCUUUUUUACUCUCAGUAUAUAUGGUGAUUUUCCAAGAACAAAAUCAAGGUAUGUACAUGAUUACAGUGCAUGCUAUAAAUGGCAUGAGUCCUGGUAUGCCACUCAGAUGGUCUCAUGACUAGUGUAUGACAAGUUAUGGGAGCCCCAGGUUUAUAUAUCCAAGAUGCUGGUGGUUAUUCUCAAGGAUCUGGUGUAUGGAAGCUACUGACUAUAUAUACUUUCCAAGAUGUUAUAAUUUAUUGAAUGCUUAAAAUGCAGGUACUAUAGGACAUGCAUUAUAUGUAUUUUUGCAUAAUAGUAUGCAAUACUUAUAAUAACCCUAGGUGAAUAUUCCUGUUUUAUAGUGUUGAAGAAAAUGAGGCUCAGAAUGGUUUAAGUUGCUUGCCUCAGAGUAAGUGGUGGAGCUGGAAUUCAAAUCUAGAAUUGCAUGACUAUACUGCCUCGUGUAGAAACAGUGAAUUAAGGUAUAAAUGGACUUUAUAUCUUUCUCUUAGACUAUUUAUUCUCUUUUAUUAAUGUAGCGUGUAUAUAUAGUUUGAAAAGUCUGAAUUCUAUAAGGCUUAUGAGUAAAAACUGCAUUUUCCUGCCCUGCUCCUCUUCACCCUGAUCCUAUUUUUCAGAGGUAAUCACUUUCAGCUCUUUUUCGUGUGUUUUGUUAAUUGUUGUAUCUCUAUUUCCUGGAACAGUGGUUCUCUCCUGGGGAUAAUUUUGCCCUCCAGAGGACGUUUGGCGAUAUCAGGAGACAUUUUUGACUGUCAUGACUGUAGGGGUGCUACUGGGCAUCUAAUGGAUAGAAGCCAGGAAUGCUGUUGAAUAUCCUACAAUGCAUAGGAUAGUCCAGAGUGUGCCACGGCUGAGAAACCCUGACCUAAAACAGUGUCUGACAUGUAGUGGGUGCUCAGUAAAUACUUGUUGAAUGCACCUCAUUUAGCUGUUUAUUUUUUCCUGCUGUUUGUUUUCCUCUGUAUUGCUAGAAACUAUAUAUAUAUAUUUUUAAUUUUUUCCUUGCGGCACGCAGGCCUCUCACUGUUGUGGCCUCUCCCGCCGCGGAGCACAGGCUCCGGACGCGCAGGCCCAGCGGCCAUGGCCCACGGACCCAGCCGCUCCGCGGCAUUUGGGAUCUUCCCGAUCCGGGGCACGAACCCGCGUCCCCUGCAUCGGCAGGCGGACUCCCAACCACUGCGCCACCAGGGAAGCCCCAUAUAUAUAUUUUUUUUCUUGAUUUUUCCUGUUUCCAACUAUAGAAAAGGGGAUAUAACUCCUACCAUACCUCCAAACCCCCCUUCCCCAAACACAUACCUUUCCUAUUUGUGUUUAAUUAAAGCUUUGUAACUAUUCCCUGAGACAUGGAGCAUAUUUGACUACAUUGACUUUAGUGUAUAGCUUUUUGGUUUCUCUAGAGCUAAUAAUAGGUAGAUAGUUAAAAUGUUUUCAUUUAUUAGUUUUUAAUCUACCAACCAGUAAUUCAUUCCCAAACUUUCCAGAGGAGCUGGAAAAUAUCCUUCCUUUGAUGGCUCCUCUGUUGGAUCCUUCUGCUUUAUCUUGAAGUUCCUCACAGAGCCUUUUGAUCUACUCCAGUGUGGUUUGGUUGGGGUCUAGGUUUGCUAUACCUAUAGCUUUAAUCUUAAGAUCUUUCUGCACCAGUAUCCUGGGAAUGCCCUUCUCUUGUGCUGGGCCUUUUGUUUUUUCAGUCUCAUUUCGUUCCCUUUCUUGAUUUAUUUCCUUCUGUUGGUGAAAAAUUUCUGCUGAAAACUUCUUAGGAAGGGUGAGUGAGAGAUAUGUUUCUGAGAAUUUACAUGCCUAGAAAUGUCUUGAUUCUACCCUUGGUAAUUUGGGUAUAGAAGUCUAAUGUGGAAAUCAUUUUCCUUCAGAAUUUUAAAAGCAUUCCUUCAUUUUUGUUUAGCACCCGUAUAUUGCUUUUGCAAAAUCUGUUAUUCUAAUUGCCAAGUCUUUGUUUUUUCUCUCUCUCUAAAAACCUUCAGAAUCUUCUCUUCCUUUUUAACGUUCUAUACUUUCGAGAUUACAUGCCCUGCUAUGAUCCUCUUUUGUUGUUCAUUGAAUCUGUAAAUUCAUGUUAUUUAGUUCUAGGAUUUUUUCUUGUAUUAAUCUGAUUUUCUCCCCUCUGAUUCCUUCAUUUUCUUUUUCUGAAAAUCCUGUUAUUCAUAUGUUGGAUCUCUUACACUGAUUCUCUGUCUUUUCUCUCUCUUUUUGCUCUGCUCUCUGAGAGAAUAUCUCAACUUUAUAUUACAAUCAUUCUAUUUAAUUAAAUUUUACUGUUGUUUUAACUUCCAAAAGAUCUUUAUGUUCUAUGAAUAAGCUUUUACAUAGCUUUCCAUUCUUGUUUCAGGGUUGUACAAUAUUGUCUUCUAUUAUUUCUCCGAAGACAUUAGAGAGGUUUUUUUUUUUUUAAAUAAAUUUAUUUAUUUAUUUUUGGCUGCAUUGGGUCUCUAGUUGUGGUGGGUGGGAGCUACUCUUUGUUGCGGUGGCUUCUCUUGUUGCGGAGCACGGGCUCUAGGCACACGGGCUCAGUAGUUGUGGCUUGCAGGCUCUAGAGCUCAGGCUCAGUAGUUGUGGCGCAUGGGCUUAGUUGCUCCGCGGCAUGUGGGAUCUUCCCGGACCAGCAGCUUUUACUGCUCUAAUGAGGCUCGAACUUGUGUCCCCUGCAUUGGCAGGCAGAUUCUUAACCACUGCAUCACCAGGGAAGCCCUGUUUGCUUUUUUUAAGUGAAGUAUAAUUUACAAUAUUGUGUUAGUUUCAGGUGUACAGCACAGUGAUUCAGAUAUACAUACAUAUGUAUAUGUGUGUAUAUAUAUAUGUAUAUGUGUGUGUAUAUAUAUAUAUACACACACACACACACAUAUAUAUUCCUUUUCAUAUUCUUUUCCCUUAUAGGUUAUUACAAAAUAUUGAGUAUAGUUCCCUGUGCUAUACAGUAGGUCCUUAUUGGUUAUCUAUUUUAUACAUAGUAGUGUGUUCAUGUUAACCCCAAACUUCUAAUUUAUCCUUCCCCCCGGAGAGACUUUUUUUUUAAAUGAAGCUUUCUUUUGCUUCUGCAUUAUCUGUUUUGUCUGAGUUCCUUUUUUCUGUUUACUUUGAUUUUUUUUUUAUUAUAGAGAUUUUUCUCAAAUAUCUCAUGAUCUAAAAUGAUGAUUGGAAACUCCAUAUGAGUGAGUGAGGGCUAUCAUUUGGUGGGCUUCACUAUAGGAUAAUCUGGUAUGAACCUGACUAUUUCAUUGGGGGAAUGCCUCAAUAUCUGUAGGUCAGUAUCUGUAGGUCUUUUUUCCUUGGCCUCGUGAGUUUUCUUAGGGAGGACUUCUCUAAUCUCCUGCCUGGGUGAAGCUGACUGGGAGAGAGGUUGGGGAAUGGUCACCCUAUUCAGGAUGCAGAUUUUUACUUAGUCCACCUAAUUUUAAUAUGAUGGUCACUCUGGCCUUAACUGCACCUGGUAAAUGAGUUUAGAAUCUCUUAGAUCUUUUGUCUUUAGAUAAUACAAUUUAUUAUCCUUUGUCAGGGGUAAGGAGAGGAAACUGUGGCUGUAAAAAGUCGGGAAGGGGCUCUACAGGUAAAAUGUUCCUUUUAAACACAUUAUACCCAAUCUCUUCUUUCUAGACCCAUACUGCUUUUAGAAGUACCGUGUGUCUCCUUUUAGAAGUACGAUGUGUGUCCAAUUUAUGAUCCUUUCCAAGGUUCUAUGGCCUGGAUCAUUUGGCAUCUUAAUAUCUUCUGCUAUAAGCUUGUUUUUCGAAUUUUUACUGCUCUAAUGAGGCUACUAAGUACUCAGAACCCAUUUUCCUAGCUUCCAAAAUUUUGAAAUUUCUUUUCUCUUGUUCUUUUUCUAAAAUAUCCUAGUGGUUUAUACAUUAAAAUCUCUAAUUGUUGUUUUUACCUAUCAUUUUAUUGGAGUUUUGAGAGGAUACCAAAAUAAAUGUAUAUGUUUAAUCUGCAAGUUAAAAUCCAUGACCCAUAUUUAUCUGUAGGCAGACUGACAGAAAGCUUAUUGGCCUACUUUUUGUUAAAAAGCCAAAUCUGCUGUUUAAGAAUAGUUGGGUCUUUUACAAAAAGAUCAAGAGAGAGAAAAUUAAUUUAGUUAGGCAAAAAUAGAGGGUUUAGUGAGAAUGAUUAUGUGAUAUCUGUGUGAAAAUAAUCUGAGAACAAUUGUAAAAUAUUUCAGUUAAAUUUCAUCUUUAUUUUUUUUUCCUUUAUUUUAUUUUAUUUUUUUGGCUGCAUUGCGCAUGGCAUGUGGGAUCUUAGUUUCUGGACCAGGAAUCAAACCGGCAGCCCCUGCAGUGGAAGUGGGGAGUCUUAACCACUGAAUCACCAGGGAAGUCCCAAAUUUAAUCUUUUAUUGAGCUGCUUCUACUCAACUGGCUUCAAAGAGGAAGUCAUUUUUCCCCAUGUAAUCAGGAAAUACAAUAUAUACAUAAAAGUGGGAUUUGUUUGGAAGGAAAGGCAGUAAAGUGAAAAAAAAUCUCAAUUUUUUUGCUAUAACUUUCUGGGAUUUAGAUGUUGCCUCUUUUCUGAUAAGAAAGAAACAUGAUAUAAUCUAAUAAAGUAAUAGAUCCAGUGAUAUAGUGGAUUAUGUAACCCUAUAACCCUGCCACUAUUACUACUCAGAAAUGCUAGAUAAAAUAUAAGAAGCAAACUUUUAAAUGCAUAACUGAUAUUGGAAGAAAGUAAGAGUAAGGCCAAGUGCAGGAACCUAGGAAAGCAGUGAGAAGUUGCACUGAUGGUGCAGCUCCUCUGGAUUUGGGAAGGUGAUGAUGUUGGCCUCUGCCAUGCAGGCAGGGCUUAGGAUUUAGUGCUCACAGCGGGCUCACGUGAGGAAAGCAAUGAAACUACUCAAUUUCCAUCCUUCCUGUUAACUAGGCUCAGAGCUUUGGAGUCUUCCUUGACUCUCUCUCACCUCAUGGCCAACUCUAAUUCGCUCCACCUUCAAAAUAUAUCCAGAAUCCAACCACUUCUCAUCACCUAUAUUGCAGUCAAUAUUCAUUUAGUGUUACCUACACCUUUACCACUAUCUAUAUAGUUCCUUUAGAAUUUCCUUUAGUGAUAAACUUCCAGAUAUGAUAAAGACAGCCAGCUAUCCACUGAAGACUUUGAGUUCCCCUUCCAUAAUGUAGAGUUGUUGCUGGCAAGAGACUGUCCAAUCACAGAUCACAUUUCUCAGGCCCUUCACCCCACCCCUUGCUGUGUCCUCUCUCUACCCCAUGUACCUAUGCAAAGCUAAAAGACUAAUUCCUACCAAUAGAUUGUGAGUAGAAAUGAUGGGUGUCACUUUUGGGCUGAACUGGCUCAAAGCAAAUGUGCUUCUUCCACUCCCUGUUUAACCAGCUGCCACCUGAAAUUGAAAGAUUCUGAGGGGCCAUAGGCAAUGACAGAGUCACAAAAUGGAAAAAACUUGGGUUUCUGGAUUACCCUGUGGAAGUCUGCUCACUGAAAGCCUGCCUUAUACUGUUAUACAACCGAGAAAUUAACCUCUGUUGAGUUAAAACACUGAAAACUUGAGGUAUGUUGGUAUAGCUAAUGUUUCUCUAAUAGUGAAAUUGUAGUAGGAUGAGAUGUUGUUAUUAUCAAUACAGAACUCUAAAACAUGUAGCACUGGCUUAGCCAUCAGGUGGUAGGCACAGAAGAAACUGAUAUUAGAGUCUGGAAAGAUAAAGACCAAUGCUCUUCAGGGUAAAAUAUUUGCUAAAACUAUUGCCUGUGAUAAUUUGGAAGGCAGGCAAAAUACUACUGAGUCUGUCCUUUUAGAAGAAAAGGUUGGAAAAUAGAAAGGUAGUGUGAGUUCUUGUUACUGGCUACAUUUAGCAAGGCAGCAACUGGCUGGUUUGCAAGAAGAAAUGAAAAGGAAUAGAGAGACUGCAGAAAUGUGGAACAUUGGAUGAGCUGAUGGUUUGGGGGCCCAAAUAAUAAGACAUUAGAUUAAAAAGGCCUUUUAAUGACAGAUGCCCAUUAAGAUUCUACCCUUCCUCAAUUACAACCCCCCCCAAACCUAUUAAAAAUGGACAAAUGACUUGAAAUGCAAGUCAAAGUAAGGUACCACUUCACACCGGUAGGAUGGCUUUAAUAAAAAAAAAAAAAAGGAAAAAUAACAAGUGUUGAAGAGGAUGUGGAGAAAUUGGAACCCUCUUACAUUACUGGUGGGAAGGUAAAAUGGUUCAACCACAGUGGAAAAUAGUUUGGAAAUUCCUCAAAAAGUUAAAAUAGAAUUACCAUAUAAUCCAGCAAUUCCAUUCCUAUGUACAUACAUAAAAGAAUUGAAAACAACUAUUCAAACAAAAACUUGUACACAAAUGUUCAUAGCAGCAUUAUUCACAGUAGCCAAAAGGCAGAAACAACACAGAUGUCCAUCAUUUGAUGAAUGGAUAAACAAGUUGUAAAUCUAUACAAUGGAAUAUUAUUCAGCCAAAAAGGAAUUAAGUACUGAUACAUGCUACAACAUGGAUGACCCUCGAAAACAUCAUGCUAAGUGAAAGAAGCCAGACACAAAAGAUAACAGAUUGUAUAAUUUCAUUUAUAUGAAAUACUCAGAAUUGGUAAAUCCAUAGAGACAGAAAGUAGGUUAUUGGUUGUUAGGCGCUGGGGAGUAAUUGCUUAAUGGGCAUGAAGUUUAUUUUUGGGGUGAUAAAAUGUUUUGGAACUAGAUGGAGGUGGUGGGUACACAACAUCGUGAAUGUACCAAUUGCCACUGAAUUGUAUACUUUAAAAUGUUAAUUUUUUGUUAUGUGAAUUUUACCUCAAUUACAAAAAGAUUGUGCCCUGCAUUAGAGAUCAGAUUAAGGGUAUAAGCUUCCUAUCCAACCAAGCCUAAUGGCCUCAAGGUAGUUGCCUUUAACUUGAGAGGGAGGCAUGAACAAGGAAGCAAAGAAAAUACAUAUUGGAAAGGAUAAAAAAAAUCCAGUCAUUUUUCAUAUAUGAUGGCAUUUCUAUGUAGAAAAUGCAAAUAAGUCCACAAACAAACAAUAUUACCAUAACAGAGUUCAGCAAGACUUGGGAUACAAAAUCAGUAUGCAAAAAUUGACUGCGUUCCUAUUAACCAAAAAUUUUUUGAAAAUGUAGUUUAAAAAAUAUCACAUACAAUAGCAACAAAAACAGUAAGAUAUCAAGAAAUAAAUCUCAGAAAAGUUGUACAAGACCCUUAGGGGAAAAAUUAUAAAACUCUACUGAAAGAUUUUGAAAGAGACUUAGAAAAAUGAAGAAACAUAGCAUGUUCAGAGAAGGGAAAACAGUAUUUUAAAGGUGUCAGUUCUCCCCAUAUUAAUGUAAUUCCAACUAAUAUCCCAACAAUUUGUGUGUGUGUGUGUGUAACUUGAGAUGUAGAAUCUAAAAUUCCCCAAAAGAGAAAGAAGCAAGCCUUGCCAACAUAAUUUCCAAAAAAGAGAAAGUAGACGAACUUGCCCUGUAAGAUAUUAAGACUUCUCAUAAAACCACAGUAACUAAAAUGGUGUAGUACCGGCCCAAGGAAAUAGAAAUAGAUCAGAAGAAUAUAAUACAUACGAAUCAAAAGAACGAAAAUUGUUUACAUAUGAAAACAUUAUAUGUGGCAAGGCUGGCAUUACAAACCAAAUGGGAAAGUCUGAGCUAUUUAAUAAAUGGUCAUUUGGGCAACUGGUUAUUUAUACAGAAAAUAAUAGAAUUUGAUUCCUACCUCAUAUUUUAUGCAAAAAUAAAACUCCAGAUGUUUUAAAGGUUCAUGUUUAAGAAGCAGAAAUAAAAACUUUUAGGAGACAAUAUAAGAGUAUCUUUAUAACCUGGCGAAAGGAAGGCAUUCUUAAGACACAGAAGGCAUAAAGGACAGGACUGAUACAUUUGCCUACAUGAAAGUUAAAGACAUCUGUCCUGAUAAAUGGAUAAAGAAGAAGUGGUACAUAUAUACAAUGGAAUACUACUCAGCCAUAAGAAAUGAAAUAAUGCCAUCUGCAGCAACAUGGAUGCAGCUAGAGAUUAUCAUACUAAGUAAGUCAGAAAGAGGAAGACAAAUACCAUAUGAUAUCAUUAUAUAUGGAAUCUAAAAUAUGACACAAAUGAACCAGUCUAUGAAAUAGACUCACGGGCAUAGAGAAAAGACCGGUGGUUGCCAAGGGGGAGGGGGUUGGGAAGGGAUGGAUUGGAGGAUGGGGUUAGCAGAUGUAAGCUCUUAUAUAUAGAAUGGAUAAACAACAAGGUCCUACUGUACAGCACAGAGAACUAUAUUCAAUAUCCUAUGAUAAACCAUAAUGGAAAAGAAUAUAAAAAAAGAAUGUAUAUAUAGUUAUAUAUGUAUAACUGAAUCACUUUGCUGUAUAGCAGAAAUUAACAGAACAGUGUAAAUCAACUACACUUCAAUAAAAAAAAUAGUAAAGAGAAAAGACUUCUGUCCUAAAAAAGACACUAUACACAAAGUUAAAAUCAAUCCACAUACUGGGAGAACAUAUUUACACUUUCUACAACUAAGUAUUAGGAUGAAGAAUUAUAUACUCAUUCAUUAUUCUAAUAGUUAUAAAAUUAGUAUUUUAUAUAUAUAUACUAAAUUAUUAAAAAAGAUAAGCACCCCAUUAGCAAAAUGGGCAAAGGAUAUCAACAGGCCACUCACAGAAGAAACGCUAAUGGUUAAUAAACAAAAAUUGCUCUCUGUCAUCCCAAAUUAGGGAAAUGCAAAUCAAGACAAUAGUUACUUUCUUUCCCCUACCAGAUUGUUAAAAGUUAUAAUCUAAUAAUCUCAGGUUUUGGAAAGACAGUGUGGAGCGACGGGGCCUCUCAUACAGCGCCGAUGGGAGUAUAAACUGGCACGACACUUUGGAAAGCAAUUUUGAAACAUUUGGCUAAUUCAAAGGUGCACAUAUUUUAAGAUCCAGCAAUUCCAUUUCUAUGUAUAUAUUAUAGAACAGUGGGUCAAAAAUGGGAUCUAGCAUCCCAGGGGGUUGUAAAAGAUGACCCACUGGAGAGCAGGAAAAUAAUAUUAGAACCAUAUCUAUUUGUUCAUUUUAAUCUAAAAAACAAGAAGGAAAUGAAAAUAUUUAAAAUUUAACAUAUGGAUAGGCACUGACAUUUUCCCUAGGUAUGAUGUAAAAUGGUAAAUCAUGAAAGUUAAGAUGUUUUGAGGGUAGAGGGGAAAUUCCACAGUGAUGCAGAGUUGGCCACUGCGGACCCCUUUGUCCACUCUCUUGUAGUGUAUUGCAAUACCUACAAUUUAUAUGGGUAAGUGAAUUAUGGGUAAUACAUGGGUAAUAUUAUUUAGUUUCAGAAUUGCUAAAGUAGACAUGUGGGUUAAUUAUACUAACAAGGCAAAGAUAAACAACAAGAAAAUGACAAAGAGGAUAUAUCUCUGCUUCUAGUUUGAACACUACCUGCCAUAUUUAGAGACUUAAAAAAUAGUCACUUGUAAUCAAAUCUGACUUUUAAUCACACUAUCAUUAAAAUACAUUAUUAAAAUUUUUCUUAGACAGUUUUAAUUUUCUUAAGAAAAAUUAUUUAAUAUUUUAUUUCAUCUUUGUCUCAUUCUUUUAAUUUCUAUUAGUAUGUUUUAAUAUAUAACAUUACUAUCGAAGAAUAUAUAUAAUUUAUAUAUAUUUAAAUGCAUUCUCAAGAAUAUUUUAUGAAUAAGUAUGCAUGAUCAAAAAACUCUAUAGACCAUUGUCUUAGAAACAUUUUGUAAAUGUGUACUAAAAGACAUGUACAAGGGUGUUCAGUGCAGUGUUGUUCAUAAUAAAGAAGUUGGAAUCUACGUUAAUAUUUAUUAAAAGGGGAAAGGAUAAGUAUUUCUGUAUUUCUUAAAAUAGUAAUGAUAUGCUGUCAGUAGCUAAAUUGAUAAAUUAGAGCUAAGUGUAUCAAAAUGAAUACAUUUCAAAAACAUGAUGUUGAACUAAAAACUCAGGUUGCAGAAGGAUAGGUUCAUUAUAAUGUCAUAAAUACAAAGUUUAAAAAUGCAAACCAAUACUACAGAUACAUAUAUAGCUACACAUAUAUAGCAGAGGAAUCAAAACAUGCAUACAAAUGAUUCAAAUCAAAUUCACUAUAGCGGUUCUUCUGGUGAGGGAGUGGAAUGGGCUUGGGAAAGGUACACAGGGGACUUUAAUUUUAUGUAUAAUUUUAUUUCUUUAAGAAACAAAGGCCCAAACCAAAUGUGGCAAAAUAUUAAGUCCAGAUAAAGCUGGCUGAUGAUUACAAGGGUAUUAGAUAUAUUAUUCUCAAAACUUUUUCAUAGGGACUUCCCUGGUGGUCCAGUGGUUAAGAAUCCGUCUUGCAAUGUACAGGACGCUGGUUCAAUCCCUGGUCUGGGAACUAAGAUCCCACAUGCCCCAGGGCAACUAAGCCCGCGCCACAGUUACUGAGCCUGCUUGCUCUGGAGCCCGUGCGCCCGUGCACCGCAGCAAAGAGCCUGCACGCCACAACAAAAGAUCCUGUGUGCGCAACUAAGACCCAAGGCAGCUAAUAAAUAAAUGAAUAUUAAAAAAAAACCUUUUUCACAUACUUGAAAUAAAUGUUGAAUGAGGUAAGGAAUUUUCUGACUAAUUUCAAAAUGCGUUGUAAAAAUGUAGAUACUAUCAGUUAUCCACUGUUUGGCUGUUAUGCUUUAUCCGUCUAUUAUGACACUUAACACAUACUUUAUAUUGCAGUUAGGUUUAUACAAAUAUGUCUCCUGCAGUAGAUUAAACUGUGGCAAGUAUCUUAUUCCAUUCUUUUAUCCCUGAAGAUGACAAGCAUAAUAUCCUGUAUAUAACAGGCCCCCAAAGAAUGUUUACUAAUGAACAAUGAAUGAAUCUAAAUGGCUUGGACAGUUUUAUCUGAACUCUUGUGUUAUAACUCUCAUAAAGACAACAACUGCAAUGCUAGACAAUGAUUUACUUUAUUAAUUCUUCUUUGUAGAUUAUACAAACUGAUGUGACAUCUUUUUCCUGCUAUAAAAACAAUGUAGAGGAUUGCUUUGUUUAAAUUGCAGGUGCUACCUUGAUUCUUUGGUAUUGGUAUUUCUGAAGACUUGAGGGGACUUGCAGAUGUUCACCUCUGGCAGACAAGGAAGGAUAGGAGUCACUGAUAUUCUCUAACUUCCUAAAUGCUGCAGAAAAUGGAUAAAAUAGAAUGGAUGUGAACAAGACUUCCCUGAGAGAGGAGCCUCUAUUAGAGAGAUAGGAGGCCUAGUGGACUCAAGAAAAGAUACCAAAUAGUAGUGUGUAUUUCUGUGUGUGUUUGGGAGAUGGGCUGAGGAUAGUUAGGUAAAGGGAAGAAUGUGAUCAACUUGGAAGAAUUAAACCUCAACCAUCUAUCUAUUUAAUUAAUUAGUUUAUUUUUUGGCUGGGCCGCAUGGCUUGCGGGAUCUUAGUUCCCAGACCAGGGACUGAACCUGUGCCCCCUGCGGUGAAAGCACAGAGUCCUAACCACUGGACCACCAGGGAAUUCCCUAUCUAUUUUAUUUUAUUUUUUUAAAUAAAAUUUAUUUAUUUAUUUAUUUUUGGCUGCAUUGGGUCUUCGUUGCUGCAUAUGGGCUUUCUCUAAUUGCGGAGAGUGGGGGCUCCUCUUCAUAGUGGUGCAUGGGCUUCUCACUGCGGUGUCUUCUCUUGUGGAGCAUGGGCUCUAGGUGCGCAGGUUUCAGUAGUUGUGGCAUGCAGGCUCAGUAGUUGUGGGGCACAGGCUUAGUUGCUCCACAGCAUGUGGGAUCUUCCCGGACCAGGGCUUGAACCCGCAUCCCCUGCAUUGGCAGGCGGAUUCUUAACCACUGCGCCACCAGGGAAGCCCUCCCUACCUAUUUUAAAUGACAUUCUUGAUUCCAAAAUCUUAAUGAAGUAGAGUGUAAAAUCACUGAUUGGAGAUGUGGCAGUCAGGCUAGGCUAACUAGCUGAAAAUCUCAGUGGAACAGAAAAAACUGAAAAUCUCAGUGGCUUAACACAACAAAGGUUUAUUUCUCUUUUUUGUCAUCGUCUGAUGUAGAUUGGGUGGCUCCCCUGCUUGACUCUCCUCCAAGUGGUGACUCAGGGAUUCAAGUUCCUUUUAUCUUGCAAUUCUGCUGUCUUAUAGUACUUUGUUUCCAGCUGCAUGGACAAGAGAGAGAAAGGGUAUGGAUGAGGUACACCCUUCUUGGAUUAGAAGUGACACAUCGGGGGCUUCCCUGGUGGCGCAGUGGUUAAGAAUCUGCCUGCUAAUGCAGGGGACACGGGUUCGAGCCCUGGUCCGGGAAGAUCCCACAUGCCAUGGAGCAACUAAGCCUGUGUGCCACAACUACUGAGCCUGUGUACUACAACUGCUGAAGCCUGUGUGCCUAGAGCCCGUGCUCUGCAACAAGACAAGCCACCGCAAUGAGAAGCCUGCACACUGUAAUGAAGAGUAGCCCCCACUUGCCACAACUAGAGAAAUCCCGCGCACAGCAAUGAAGACCCAAUGCAGCCAAAAAGAAAUAAAAUAAAUAAAUUUAUAUAAAAAUAAGUGCCACAUCACUUUAACUCACAUUCUGUUGUUAAGAAUUAGUGACAUGAUACCAGUAGGCUUCAUGGGAGCUGGGAAAUGGUGAGGAGCACAUGGAGUUUUGGGGGGCAUUAGCAAUCUUGCCAUAGACAUAUUGCCUCCAUUAUGUUAUUCUGUGUCCUUUAU